RNAcentral lists this transfer RNA (65 nucleotides) under Chelopistes texanus. Its description in RNAcentral is "tRNA-Gln". The record is from RNAcentral. Lineage: Eukaryota; Metazoa; Arthropoda; Insecta; Psocodea; Philopteridae.
UUUAGAGUAAUUUAAUCAAAAAUUUAGGUUUUGAGCCUAAGAAUGGUAAUUAGAUUUACCCUCUA